UACGUAGGGUGCGAGCGUUGUCCGGAAUUAUUGGGCGUAAAGAGCUCGUAGGCGGUUUGUCGCGUCUGCCGUGAAAGUCCGGGGCUCAACUCCGGAUCUGCGGUGGGUACGGGCAGACUAGAGUGAUGUAGGGGAGACUGGAAUUCCUGGUGUAGCGGUGAAAUGCGCAGAUAUCAGGAGGAACACCGAUGGCGAAGGCAGGUCUCUGGGCCACUACUGACGCUGAGAAGCGAAAGCAUGGGGAGCGAACAGG
This 253-nucleotide ribosomal RNA is filed under the name uncultured bacterium. RNAcentral's name for it is "partial 16S ribosomal RNA". It matches the Rfam family "Bacterial small subunit ribosomal RNA", at positions 524 to 776 of the family's 1533-position model. The record is from RNAcentral.